Molecule: small nuclear RNA, 105 nt
Organism: Callithrix jacchus (white-tufted-ear marmoset)
Lineage: Eukaryota; Metazoa; Chordata; Mammalia; Primates; Cebidae
Source: Ensembl
GUGCUCACUUCGGCAGCAUAUAUACUAAAAUUGGAACGAAACAGAAGAUUAGCAUGGCCCCUGAGCAAGGAUGACACGCAAAUUUGUGAAGCGUUCCAUAUUAAA